GCGUGAGUGAUGAAGGCCUUCGGGUUGUAAAGCUCUUUCGGGUGUGAAAAUGAUGAUGGUAACACCAGAAGAAGCCCCGGCUAACUCCGUGCCAGCAGCCGCGGUAAUACGGAGGGGGCGAGCGUUGUUCGGAAUCACUGGGCGUAAAGCGUGCGUAGGCGGUUAUACAAGUCAGGAGUGAAAUCCCAGGGCUCAACCUUGGAAUUGCUUUUGAGACUGUAUGACUAGAGAUCUAGAGAGGUUGGGGGAAUUCCGAGUGUAGAGGUGAAAUUCGC
This 275-nucleotide ribosomal RNA is filed under the name uncultured bacterium. Its description in RNAcentral is "partial 16S ribosomal RNA". It matches the Rfam family "Bacterial small subunit ribosomal RNA", at positions 399 to 691 of the family's 1533-position model. The record is from RNAcentral.